UACGGAGGGUGCAAGCGUUAUCCGGAAUCACUGGGCUUAAAGGGCGCGUAGGCGGGCAGGUAAGUCAGGGGUGAAAUCUCCAAGCUUAACUUGGAAACUGCCGUUGAUACUAUCUGUCUUGAAUAUUGUGGAGGUGAGCGGAAUAUGUCAUGUAGCGGUGAAAUGCUUAGAUAUGACAUAGAACACCAAUUGCGAAGGCAGCUCACUACACAAUCAUUGACUCUGAGGCCCGAAAGCGUGGGGAUCAAACAGG
RNAcentral lists this ribosomal RNA (253 nucleotides) under uncultured bacterium. RNAcentral's name for it is "partial 16S ribosomal RNA". It matches the Rfam family "Bacterial small subunit ribosomal RNA", at positions 524 to 776 of the family's 1533-position model. The record is from RNAcentral.